This 497-nucleotide ribosomal RNA is filed under the name uncultured bacterium. RNAcentral describes it as "partial 16S ribosomal RNA". It matches the Rfam family "Bacterial small subunit ribosomal RNA", at positions 28 to 507 of the family's 1533-position model. The record is from RNAcentral.
GAUGAACGCUGGCGGCGUGCCUAAUACAUGCAAGUCGAGCGAACAGACGAGGAGCUUGCUCCUCUGACGUUAGCUGCGGACGGGUGAGUAACACGUGGAUAACCUACCUAUAAGACUGGGAUAACUUCGGGAAACCGGAGCUAAUACCGGAUAAUAUAUUGAACCGCAUGGUUCAAUAGUGAAAGACGGUUUUGCUGUCACUUAUAGAUGGAUCCGCGCCGCAUUAGCUAGUUGGUAAGGUAACGGCUUACCAAGGCAACGAUGCGUAGCCGACCUGAGAGGGUGAUCGGCCACACUGGAACUGAGACACGGUCCAGACGCCUACGGGAGGCAGCAGUAGGGAAUCUUCCGAAAUGGGCGAAAGCCUGACGGAGCAACGCCGCGUGAGUGAUGAAGGUCUUCGGAUCGUAAAACUCUGUUAUUAGGGAAGAACAAAUGUGUAAGUAACUAUGCACGUCUUGACGGUACCUAAUCAGAAAGCCACGGCUAACUACGUG